CGGUGGAUGCCCUGGCAGUCAGAGGCGAUGAAGGACGUGCUAAUCUGCGAUAAGCGUCGGUAAGGUGAUAUGAACCGUUAUAACCGGCGAUUUCCGAAUGGGGAAACCCAGUGUGAUUCGUCACACUAUCAUUAACUGAAUCCAUAGGUUAAUGAGGCGAACCGGGGGAACUGAAACAUCUAAGUACCCCGAGGAAAAGAAAUCAACCGAGAUUCCCCCAGUAGCGGCGAGCGAACGGGGAGCAGCCCAGAGCCUGAAUCAGUGUGUGUGUUAGUGGAAGCGUCUGGAAAGGCGUGCGAUACAGGGUGACAGCCCCGUACACAAAAAUGCACAUACUGUGAGCUCGAUGAGUAGGGCGGGACACGUGGUAUCCUGUCUGAAUAUGGGGGGACCAUCCUCCAAGGCUAAAUACUCCUGACUGACCGAUAGUGAACCAGUACCGUGAGGGAAAGGCGAAAAGAACCCCGGCGAGGGGAGUGAAAAAGAACCUGAAACCGU
Molecule: ribosomal RNA, 498 nt
Filed under: Shigella flexneri
Lineage: Bacteria; Pseudomonadati; Pseudomonadota; Gammaproteobacteria; Enterobacterales; Enterobacteriaceae
Description: partial 23S ribosomal RNA
Rfam family: Bacterial large subunit ribosomal RNA
Source: RNAcentral